UUGGGGCAACUAUGGAGCAAAACAAAACCUCCACGAACUAAGACUCAUCGUCUAUUAUAGACCCACAAGUCAAUAAUAACCAAUAUUGACCCAGUAAUACUGACCAUCGAACCAAGUUACCCCGGGGAUAACAGCGCUAUCCUCUCCAAGAGUCCACAUCACCGAGAGGGUUUACGACCUCGAUGUUGGAUCAGGGCCCCCAGGCGGUGCAGCCGCUGCCAAAGGUUCGUUUGUUCAACGACUAACGCCCUACGUGAUCUGAGUUCAGACCG
This 272-nucleotide ribosomal RNA is filed under the name Paroedura gracilis. Its description in RNAcentral is "partial 16S ribosomal RNA". It matches the Rfam family "Bacterial large subunit ribosomal RNA", at positions 2274 to 2618 of the family's 2925-position model. The record is from RNAcentral. Lineage: Eukaryota; Metazoa; Chordata; Lepidosauria; Squamata; Gekkonidae.